This 406-nucleotide ribosomal RNA is filed under the name uncultured bacterium. RNAcentral describes it as "partial 16S ribosomal RNA". It matches the Rfam family "Bacterial small subunit ribosomal RNA", at positions 30 to 526 of the family's 1533-position model. The record is from RNAcentral.
AUUGAACGCUGGCGGCAGGCCUAACACAUGCAAGUCGAACGAGUGGCGGACGGGUGAGUAAUGUCUGGGAAACUGCCUGAUGGAGGGGGAUAACUACUGGAAACGGUAGCUAAUACCGCAUACCAUCGGAUGUGCCCAUAUGGUAUUAGCUAGUAGGUGGGGUAAAGGCUCACCUAGGCGACGAUCCCUAGCUGGUCUUAGAGGAUGACCAGCCACACUGGAACUGAGACAGGGUCCAGACUCCUACGGGAGGCAUCAGUGGGGAAUAGUGCACAAUGGGCGCAAGCCUGAUGCAGCCAUGCGGCGUGUAUGAAGAAGGCCGUCGGGUUGUAAAGUACUUUCAGCGGGGAGGCGGGAGCCGAAGAAGAAGCACCGGCUAACUCCGUGCCAGCAGCCGCGGUAAUAG